CCCCCAUGAGGAAACCCCCACCCGUCUGACCCCCCCGCCGGGCCCAGGACCUGCAAAGGUGGAACCCCCUGGAGCCCCCGGGGGGACGAGAGGACGAGCAGUCCCAGCGGGGACGGUCUGAGGGGG
Molecule: small nucleolar RNA, 126 nt
Organism: Cyanistes caeruleus (blue tit)
Lineage: Eukaryota; Metazoa; Chordata; Aves; Passeriformes; Paridae
Gene: SNORD22
Rfam family: Small nucleolar RNA SNORD22
About the family: U22 is a member of the C/D class of snoRNA which contain the C (UGAUGA) and D (CUGA) box motifs. U22 is encoded within the U22 snoRNA host gene (UHG) in mammals and has also been identified in Xenopus.
Source: Ensembl